AUGAUCUCGAUCUCGAACUGUCGUCCAUCUAGAUGCCGCAUGGGACCAAGAGAGAAUCAGCCUGAAUCACCGCAUCAUCCUCCGAUCCGGCCGGCCCCCUCCGAACUGCCAGCGCCGGCGGCGGCGGAACCAAGGUCUCCAGGACCGGCGACGAAGGAACCGGCCCCCCCUGGAUUGCCAGCGCCGCCGGCGGCAGAACCGCGGUCACCAGUACCGGCGGCGGUGGAUCUGGAGGCCGCUGCAUUUCCGGCGUCAUUUCCGGUGCCCACACAUAUGCACUCUUCCCGACUUUUUUAUGUUCCUAUGUUCCAAAUACUCGUUAAAAUUAUGUCCAAAAUGACAGAUUUUUUUGAACUGGAGGGAGUAACUACUAUGUAA
RNAcentral lists this ribosomal RNA (378 nucleotides) under Triticum aestivum (bread wheat). RNAcentral's name for it is "partial small subunit ribosomal RNA". Lineage: Eukaryota; Viridiplantae; Streptophyta; Magnoliopsida; Poales; Poaceae. The record is from RNAcentral.